Molecule: ribosomal RNA, 365 nt
Filed under: uncultured organism
Description: partial 16S ribosomal RNA
Rfam family: Bacterial small subunit ribosomal RNA
Source: RNAcentral
GUAGGGACCAAGCGUUAUCCGGAAUUAUUGGGCGUAAAGGGUGCGUAGGCGGCCAUGUAAGUCUAAGUUUAAAAGCCCACAGCUUAACUGUGGGAAGGUGCUUAGAAACUGUAUGGCUUGAAUUCAGAAGAGGCAAGUGGAAUUCUAUGUGGAGCGGUGGAAUGCGUAGAUAUAUGGAGGAACACCAGUGGCGAAGGCGGCUUGCUGGGCUGAUAUUGACGCUGAUGCACGAAAGCGUGGGGAGCAAACAGGAUUAGAUACCCUGGUAGUCCACGCCGUAAACGAUGAGUACUAAGUGUUGGAGAAAUUCAGUGCUGAACUUAACAGAUUAAGUACUCCGCCUGGGGAUUACGACCGCAAGGUUG